UACGGAGGGAGCUAGCGUUGUUCGGAAUUACUGGGCGUAAAGCGCACGUAGGCGGCUUUGUAAGUUAGAGGUGAAAGCCCGGGGCUCAACCCCGGAAUUGCCUUUAAGACUGCAUCGCUUGAAUCCGGGAGAGGUGAGUGGAAUUCCGAGUGUAGAGGUGAAAUUCGUAGAUAUUAGGAAGAACACCAGUGGCGAAGGCGGCUCACUGGCCCGGUACUGACGCUGAGGCGCGAAAGCGUGGGGAGCAAACAGG
This 253-nucleotide ribosomal RNA is filed under the name uncultured bacterium. RNAcentral's name for it is "partial 16S ribosomal RNA". It matches the Rfam family "Bacterial small subunit ribosomal RNA", at positions 524 to 776 of the family's 1533-position model. The record is from RNAcentral.